This 107-nucleotide ribosomal RNA is filed under the name Mycoplasmataceae bacterium. Lineage: Bacteria; Bacillati; Mycoplasmatota; Mollicutes; Mycoplasmatales; Mycoplasmataceae. The record is from RNAcentral.
AUUGGUGCUCAUAUUAGUCGUGGUCACACCUAUUCCCAUCCCGAACAUAGAAGUUAAGCACGAUUAAGCCGACAGUAGGAUAAGAUCUAGGAUAGGUAGCGCUGUAU